RNAcentral lists this ribosomal RNA (286 nucleotides) under uncultured bacterium. RNAcentral describes it as "partial 16S ribosomal RNA". It matches the Rfam family "Bacterial small subunit ribosomal RNA", at positions 28 to 317 of the family's 1533-position model. The record is from RNAcentral.
GAUGAACGCUAGCGACAGGCUUAACACAUGCAAGUCGAGGGGUAGAAGGCUUCGGCCUUUGAGACCGGCGCACGGGUGCGAAACGCGUAUACAAUCUACCUAUUACAGGGGGAUAGCCCAGAGAAAUUUGGAUUAAUACCCCAUAGUAUUAUAGAGUGGCAUCAUUUUAUAAUUAAAGUUGAGGCGGUAAUAGAUGAGUAUGCGUCCUAUUAGCUAGUUGGUGAGGUAAUGGCUCACCAAGGCUACGAUCAGUAGGGGAUCUGAGAGGACUACCCCCCACAACUGG